This 3035-nucleotide long non-coding RNA is filed under the name Podarcis lilfordi (Lilford's wall lizard). The record is from RNAcentral. Lineage: Eukaryota; Metazoa; Chordata; Lepidosauria; Squamata; Lacertidae.
AUCAAAAUUAGAAACAGAAUUGUUAGAACCCAAUACUAAGAAUUUGUCAAGAAUGUAUAACUUGCUGCUGAAAUGGAAUACUCAAGAUGAAACGGUAAAAUCGGCUAUGAUUAAAUGGGCACAGGACGUAGGGACAUAACAUUAUGUUUGCUGACUGGGAACAGUUAUGGACCACAGGUAUGAAAUUUACGGCAUGUAAUGCCUUAAGAGAGAAUAUUAUGAAAAUGAUAUACAGUGGUGCCCGCAAGACGAACGCCUCGCAAAACGAAAAACUCGCAAGACGAAAGGUUUUUCGUUUUCGGAGUUGCUUCGCAAGACGAAUGUCCCUAUGGGCUUGCUUCGCAAGACGAAAACGUCUUGCAAGUUUGUUUCCUUUUUCGUAAAACCGUUAAAACCCAGGGUGCAUUGCUUGAAGAGGUGCAGUUGCGACUUGACCUCGAGGAGCAACACAUUGCACGCGGUGUGGUGGCCUUUCUGAGCUUUUUAAAGAGUUUGCUGGAUUUUUGAAGCUUUUCCAAAACUUCUUCUACAGCUGUUUGGUAAGUUGAACUUUUAAAACUUUUUUGGGGUUUUUGGGAUUUUGGGUUGGGGUGUUUAGAAUUCAAGGACUUGGUGUUGGGGAGAGGUUUGCAAGAAUCUGGGAGCUUGUGUGGUUUUUUUGUGCAUUUUUAUGAUUUUAUGUGACCAUUGGGCCAUGUUUAUUUUUUUUUAAAAAAAAUCUGGCUUUGAAUUUUUGAAUUUCUGUGUGCUGGGUGGAUGGGGGAACAGCUGGGGAGGUGUUUGCAAGAAUCUGGGAGCUUGUGUGCUUUUUUUUGAAUUUUUAUGAUUUUUUGUGACCAUUGGGCCAUGUUGUUGUUUUUUGAAAAAGUUUCUGGGUUUUGAAUUUCUGUGUGCUGGGUGGAUGGGGAACAGCUGGGGAGGUGUUUGCAAGAAUCUGGGAGCUUGUGUGCUUUUUUUUUGAAUUUUUAUGAUUUUUGUGACCAUUGGGCCAUGUUGUUGUUUUUUGAAAAAGUUUCUGGGUUUUAAAUUUCUGUGUGCUGGGUGGAUGGGGGAACAGCUGGGGAGGUGUUUGCAAGAAUCUGGGAGCUUGUGUGCUUUUUUUUGAAUUUUUAUGAUUUUUGUGACCAUUGGGCCAUGUUGUUGUUUUUUGAAAAAAGUUUCUGGGUUUUAAAUUUCUGUGUGCUGGGUGGAUGGGGGAACAGCUGGGGAGGUGUUUGCAAGAAUCUGGGAGCUUGUGUGCUUUUUUUUGAAUUUUUAUGAUUUUUUGUGACCAUUGGGCCAUGUUGUUGUUUUUUGAAAAAAGUUUCUGGGUUUUGAAUUUCUGUGUGCUGGGUGGAUGGGGGAACAGCUGGGGAGGUGUUUGCAAGAAUCUGGGAGCUUGUGUGCUUUUUUUUGAAUUUUUAUGAUUUUUUUGUGACCAUUGGGCCAUGUUGUUGUUUUUUGAAAAAAGUUUCUGGGUUUUAAAUUUCUGUGUGCUGGGUGGCUGGGGGAACAGCUGGGGAGGGGUUUGCAAGAAUCUGGGAGCUUGUGUGCUUUUUUUUGAAUUUUAUGGUUUUCUGUAACCAUUGGGCCAUGUUGUUGUUUUUUAAAAAAUUUUCUGGUUUUUAAAUUUCUGUGUGCUGGGUGGCUGGGGGAACAGCUGGGGAGGGGUUUGCAAGAAUCUGGGAGCUUGUGUGCUUUUUUUUGAAUUUUUAUGGUUUUCUGUAACCAUUGGGCCAUGUUGUUUUUUUUUGAAAAAGUUUCUGGGUUUUGAAUUUCUGUGUGCUGGGUGGCUGGGGGAACAGCUGGGGAGGGGUUUGCAAGAAUCUGGGAGCUUGUGUGCAUUUUUUUGAAUUUUUAUGGUUUUUGUGACCAUUGGGCCAUGUUGUUGUUUUUUGAAAAAGUUUCUGGGUUUUAAAUUUCUGUGUGCUGGGUGGAUGGGGGAACAGCUGGGGAGGUGUUUGCAAGAAUCUGGGAGCUUGUGUGCUUUUUUUUUAAUUUUUAUUUUUUUUGGUGACCAUUGGGCAUUUUUGUUGUUUUUGUAAAAAAGUUUCUGGGUUUUAAAUUUCUGUGUGCUGGGUGGCUGGGGGAACAGCUGGGGAGGGGUUUGCAAGAAUCUGGGAGCUUGUGUGCUUUUUUUUGAAUUUUUAUGGUUUUCUGUAACCAUUGGGCCAUGUUGUUUUUUGUUAAAAAGUGUAGCUUGGUUUUUACUUUCUGUGUGGGGGGUGGCGGGGGGAACAGCGGGGGAGGGGUUUGCAAGAAUCUGGGAGCUUGUGUGCUUUUUUUUAAUUUUUAUGGUUUUCGGUAACCAUUGGGCCAUGUUGUUUUUUUUUUAAAAAGUUUCUGGGUUUUGAAUUUCUGUGUGCUGGGUGGCUGGGGGAACAGCUGGGGAGGGGUUUGCAAGAAUCUGGGAGCUUGUGUGCUUUUUUUGAAUUUUUAUGAUUUUUUGUGACCAUUGGGCCAUGUUGUUUUUUUUGAAAAAAGUUUCUGGGUUUUAAAUUUCUGUGUGCUGGGUGGCUGGGGGAACAGCUGGGGAGGGGUUUGCAAGAAUCUGGGAGCUUGUGAGCUUUUUUUAAAUUUUAUGGUUUUCUGUAACCAUUGGGCCAUGUUGUUUUUUUUUGAAAAAGUUUCUGGGUUUUGAAUUUCUGUGUGCUGGGUGGCUGGGGGAACAGUUGAGGAGGGGUUUGCAACAGUUGGGGAGGGGUUUGCAACAGUUGGGGAGGGGCUGGGGGAACAGUUGAGGUUUUGAAGACUUUGGUGAUUUUUAAAGCUUUCCCAAAAUUUCUUUUGCAGCCAUUUGAGGAUUUUGAAGACUUUGGUGAUUUGCAGCCAUUUCGUAAGUUAAACUUUUAAAACUUUUUUUGGGGUUUUUGGAUUUUGGGUUGGGUGUUUGGAAUUCAAGGACUUGGUUGUGGGUUUGAAUUGCUGAUUUUUUUUUUCUUUUUCUGAGUUUUACAAAGGUAACAGCUGUGCUGCCAUGGGACCCAAGAAGACUGCUGCUGCUGCGGAGGCCGGCGAGAGGAAGAAGGAGAAGGUGACGCUGGAGAUGAAGAAGG